RNAcentral lists this ribosomal RNA (3193 nucleotides) under Candidatus Saccharimonadota bacterium. Its description in RNAcentral is "23S ribosomal RNA". It matches the Rfam family "Bacterial large subunit ribosomal RNA". The record is from RNAcentral. Lineage: Bacteria; Candidatus Saccharimonadota.
AAGGUACUCAAGAGCGCACAAUGGAUGCCUUGACGUAUAUUACCGACGAAGGACGUGGAAGACUGCGAUAAGUCUCGGGGAGCUGUCAACAAGCUUUGAUCCGGGAAUCUCCGAAUGGGGAAACCCAAUUAGAUUCAUAUCUAAUUACCCUUUUCUGAAUACAUAGGAAAUGAGGCGGGAACCAACUGAACUGAAACAUCUAAGUAGGUUGAGGAAGUGAAAAUAAAUAAUGAUUCCGGGAGUAGUGGCGAGCGAAACUGGAUCAGUCCAAACCUUUUACAUUUUUGCCUGUAAAUUACGGGUAAAUAAGUUUUCGGACGAAUAUGUAUAAGGGGUUGUGAGAUUACACAAGACAAGGUCAGAGGACUAAAUUUAUUUUAGUCAAUCUGACCUAGGAUCGCGAACCGAAAAUAGCGAGUAAGGUAAGAAAUCGACGUUGUUAGCGGAAUAGUUUGAAUGACUAACCACAGAGCGUGAAAGUCGCGUAUGCGAAAACGACGUUGACCUUAUAUGUGUUUUCUCGAGUAGGACGGGGCACGAGAAACCCUGUUUGAAUCCGGCAGGACCACCUGCCAAGACUAAAUAUAAUAUACGAUCGAUAGUGAACCAGUACCGCGAGGGAAAGGUGAAAAGAACCCCGGGAGGGGAGUGAAAUAGAUCCUGAAAUUGUGUGCUUACAAGGAGUCGGAGCCGGUUUAUCCGGUGACGGCGUGCUUUUUGUAGAACGAUCCAGCGAGUUAAUUUUAUACGCAAGGUUAAGUCAAGUGACGGAGCCGCAGUGAAAGCGAGCCUUAAUUAGGGCGAAUAAGUGUAUAGGAUUAGACCCGAAACCGGGUGACCUAACCAUGAACAGGCUGAAGCGUCGGUAAUACGACGUGGAGGGCCGAACCAGAGUGUGCAGCAAAACGCUUGGAUGAUUUGUGGUUAGCGGUGAAAUACCAAUCGAACUCGGAGAUAGCUGGUUCUCCUCGAAAUAGCUUUAGGGCUAGCGUUAUGUGUAUAGCUGAUGGGGGUAGAGCUCUGUAAAGGAAUGAGGUCCGCAAGGAUACUCAUCCUUAACAAACUACGAAUACCGUCAGUGUGACCAUAGCAGUCAGAACGUCGGGGCUAAGCUCGGCGCUCAAAAGGGAAACAGCCCAGACCAUCAUCUAAGGUCCCUAAAUAUAUACUCAGUGGGAAACAAAGUGAAAUUUCUUAAACAGCUAGGAUGUUGGCUUAGAAGCAGCCAUUCAUUUAAAGAGUGCGUAACAGCUCACUAGUCAAGAGAUUUUGCGUGGAAAAUGUAACGGGGCUAAGUAUAUUACCGAAGAUAUGGAUAUGAUACGAUUUAUCGUACAUGUGGUAGAGGAGCGUUCCUAUCAGCAGUGAAGUUCAACUGGAAAGUUGGGUGGAGCGGUAGGAAGUGAGAAUGCUGGAAUGAGUAACCAUAAGAGAGGUGAGAAUCCUCUCGGCCGUAAGAGCAAGGUUUCCUGAGCCAUGGUAAUCAUCUCAGGGUUAGUCGGGCCUAAGCCGAGGCGCAUAGCGUAGGCGAUGGACAUCAGGUUAAUAUUCCUGAACCGGUUAUAAUUUUGUUAACAGUUCACAUUUAAUAAUCAGAAGCGGAUUCAUGGUAUGUAUCCGUCCAACCGUCUGUCCCCUUAAAAGGCAGUGGGAGUGAAACGAUCUCUUCGGAGAUUGAAUUUUUGAAGAGAGGAUGGCGAGAAAAGCUAGUUAACGUGUGAUUAUAGCCGCCCGUACCGCAAACCAACACAGGUGCUCGAGUCGAGUAGACUCAGGCUUACGAGCGAACCUUCGCUAAGGAACUCGGCAAUAUAGCGACCGUAACUUCGGGAUAAGGUCUGCCCCCACAUCAUUCGAUGUGAGCCGUGUUCAACUAACUUAGUGAAAGGUGGUUGAAUAGAGAAUAAUUGAGUGCAGGGCAUUAUGAAUAAUAAUGUCGUGUCAAAAACCUUUUUAAAUCACAUUUUUUUACUGAGAUAGACAAAACUAAUUGAUUCAUCAAUAAGUUCUUGAGCACGCGCACUCUCGCAUCAAACGAUGUGGGGGCCGCAGCAAAAGAGCCCACGGAACUGUUUACCAAAAACACAGGUCUCUGCAAAUUCGAAAGAAUAUGUAUAGGGGCUGACUCCUGCCCAGUGCUGGUAGGUUAAGGAGAGCGCUUUACGGUGCGAACUGAAGCCCCAGUGAACGGCGGCGGUAACUAUAACCGUCCUAAGGUAGCGAAAUUCCUUGUCAGGUAAGUUCUGACCCGCACGAAUGGAGUAAUCAUUGUGGGCACUGUCUCAGCGAGGGACUCGGUGAAAGUGCAUUGACGGUAAAGAUGCCGUCUGUCCGUACAAGGACGAAAAGACCCCAUGGAGCUUUACUACAGCUUUACAUUGAUCCGGGUUACAACAUGUGUAGCAUAGGUGGGAGCCUUUGAAGCAGAUACGCAAGUAUUUGUGGAGGCGCCAAGUGAAAUACCACCCUUGUUGUGAUCUUGAUCUCACCAUUGCCAUUAUCUGGCAAUGGGACCGUGUAUGGUAGGUAGUUUAACUGGGGCGGUUGCCUCCUAAAGAGUAGCGGAGGCGUUCAAAGGUUGGCUAGUUUCGAAUGGAAACCGAAGCGAUAGUGCAUGCGCAUAAGCCAGCUUGACUGUGAGGGGUACCUCCCAAACAGAUACGAAAGUAGGAGCAAGUGACCCGCUAUACAGUACAAUUUAUUGUACAUGAAUGUGGGAUCGAUAGCGCACACGGAUAAAAGUUACCCUGGGGAUAACAGGCUUAUCGCGCCCAAUAGUUCACAUAGACGGCGCGGUUUGGCACCUCGAUGUCGGCCCAUCACAUCCUGGAGGGGGAGCACCUUCCAAGGGUUCGGCUGUUCGCCGAUUAAAGUGGUACGCGAGCUGGGUUCAGAACGUCGUGAGACAGUUCGGUUUAUAUCCGGUACGGACGUUAGGAAAUUUGAGAAGAUCCACCCUUAGUACGAGAGGACCGGGGCGGACGAACCUCUGGUGUAUCGAUUGUGGCCACCUGCUGCAGUGUCGAGUAGCUAUGUUCGGAAUAGAUAAGCGCUGAAAGCAUAUUAAGCACGAAACUAACUUCAAGAUAAGAUUUCCCUAUGAGGACACUGAAAGAAUAUCAGUUUGAUAGGCGCAAGGUGUAAGCAUGGUAACAUGUGUGCCGAAGCGUACUAAUAGUCCCAUCGCCUUUUU